GGUUUAAAGCCACUUCUGGAACUCUGACGCUCUGCACCCUUUCCCAGAGAGAGAACAUCCCUGACCCGGGAUUCUGGUCCCCUGAGUCACCCGUGUGCCCUGACGAGUGCCCCUGGCACCCAGGAAAGACCCUGCUCACCAGGGCUGUUGAUGUACAUGUGGAUGGGCUUCUUGUUGCUCUCGGAUUGCAGGAAGAGGAGCUGUGCGAUAACAAGGCUGGCAACGCUGUCAUCGAUCUGCAGGUGGAGAGGGCAGGGGUGUCCCCAGAUUCGGGGUGGGGAGAGAGUUUUAAGGGAGGCUGGGGAUGGGUCAGGGAACCAGGAAGGGGGACCAGAGCCCAAAGUAAAAGGGAUGGGGAAGAAUUUAGGCCCCAGAAGGGGAUGGGGAGAGAGUAGUGGAGAGGACCCAGGGGGUUUGGAGCACAGGAAGGGGGGAGUCAGGGGGCUAGGGACACAGGAAAGGAAGGGGUGAGAAUGGCUGGGGAGAGUCUUGAGCGUAGGAAUGAGGGGAGCGGUGCCAGGUGUCAGGAAGGAAGUCGGAGAUUAAGAGCCGAGGAGCAGAGAAGGGUGUUCCCACAGCUCAUCUUGGAAGAGGGGUCCCAGAGAGGACUUAGCCUGGGUCUUGGCCUUGAAGAGCUUCCAGCCUGGUGUGGCCGACUUCUACUGAGACCUCCUCAUUCAUUUUUUGGCCACCUGUGGAGUAGAUUGUGGGAGCCCAGAGAAGGGUGUUGUGGAUUCUUCCUGGAGAUCAGACCGGAAAGCAUUCCUAGGAGAAGCAGAGGCAGAGUCUCACUAUGCUGUCCAGGCUGGUUUCAAAUUCCUGGAGUCAAGCAACCCUCUUACCUUGGCCUCCCAAAGCGCUGAGAUGUCAACAGAGGGAAAGAGUUGAAGGCAGGGCUGCUCUGAAUAAUCUUGUACCAGAAUCCUGGGUCCAUUUGUGGGAGUUUCUCAGGGGGACAUAAAUCCAGGAGAUGAGUUGCUGGUUGUAGGACAUGUUCAUUUGCACCUUUACUGAAUGUGAUGGAGGCAGCCUGUUGUGGUUUAAAGAUUCAGGCUCCCUUCCCACAGGGUAAAGUGGAUACCAGGAAGUGG
RNAcentral lists this long non-coding RNA (1091 nucleotides) under Homo sapiens (human). Its description in RNAcentral is "HSALNT0395923". Lineage: Eukaryota; Metazoa; Chordata; Mammalia; Primates; Hominidae. The record is from RNAcentral.